UUACCGUCACCGUCGCCGUACGGAUGUCAUCGGGCUGCGUGGCCGCGGCUCCGGCAUGCGUAUUAUACCCACGACGUUUGUCGUUAUUCCGCCGGAUGCACGCGAUCUUAACCCGUGCGGAGUGGGUACAACGACGCCUGGCACGCGGGUCGGGCCCCGUAGUGAUGGCGACAAGCCGUCGAUGUCUUGAAGCUACACGCAAUGGUCCUAACGUUUUACCGAUAAUUAUCUUAUCUUAUCGA
Molecule: non-coding RNA, 242 nt
Organism: Cinara cedri
Lineage: Eukaryota; Metazoa; Arthropoda; Insecta; Hemiptera; Aphididae
Source: the annotation of a GenBank genome assembly